RNAcentral lists this transfer RNA (57 nucleotides) under Rattus norvegicus (Norway rat). The record is from Rfam by way of RNAcentral. Lineage: Eukaryota; Metazoa; Chordata; Mammalia; Rodentia; Muridae.
UGGCUCAGUGGUUAGAGCACUGGCUGCUCCUCCAGAGGUCCUGAGUUCAAAUCCCAG